AUACGUAGGGUGCAAGCGUUAAUCGGAAUUACUGGGCGUAAAGCGUGCGCAGGCGGCUUUGUAAGACAGAGGUGAAAUCCCCGGGCUACACCUGGGAACUGCCUUUCAAAAUGGAAGGCUAGAGUUCGGCAGAGGGGGAUGGAAUUCCGCGUGUAGCAGUGCAAUGCGUAGAUAUGCGGAGAAACUCCGGUGGCGAAUGCAAUCCGCUCGGCCUAUACGGACGCUCAUGCACGAAAGCGUUGAGGACAAACAAGAUUAUAUACCCUUAUAUCCCACACUCUAAACGAUAUCAACUGGUUGUUGGGUCUUAAUUGACUCAGUAACGAAGCUAACGCGUGAAGUUGACCGCCUGGGUAGUACGGACGCAAGGUUGAAACUCAAAUGAAUUGACGGGG
This 395-nucleotide ribosomal RNA is filed under the name uncultured bacterium. RNAcentral's name for it is "partial 16S ribosomal RNA". It matches the Rfam family "Bacterial small subunit ribosomal RNA", at positions 523 to 918 of the family's 1533-position model. The record is from RNAcentral.